Molecule: long non-coding RNA, 1035 nt
Filed under: Equus caballus (horse)
Lineage: Eukaryota; Metazoa; Chordata; Mammalia; Perissodactyla; Equidae
Description: lncRNA (ENSECAG00000047919.1)
Source: RNAcentral
UGACCUCUGUGCUAAGUGCUCAUUCCUGGAACAGGAAGCAUUUCAAGAGAGACUUGAGUGGAAGUGUUCCUGAUGCUAAUGGCACAGGAGGAGCUGGGGCAUUUGGGCAGAUGGCCUGGCAUCACAAAGGGGUGCGUGUCAGCCAUUGUCCUGUCUGCAGGGAUGGGUGGAAAAGCAUCCUGCAGGGCUGCGGAAGGGGAAAAGAGUGAAGAAUUACUUACUGUCAGCUGAGGUUUGGGAGGGUCACCAAGCUUAAGAAGGUACAUCUAGAAUCAAGUUAAGUCUAAAACUAAUCUGUGUGGCAAAUGGUCAAUGCAAAGCCUGGCUGUUACCACAAGGGAGGGCAAUCUCAAAGCAAGCUGGUUCCAAAUCACUUGCAAAUCCAAGGGCAGAACAGUUCAGGGAAGUUCAACAGGAAGCGGGCCGGGAGUAAUACAGAAGCCAGCAAACGCAACCUGCACGUCUCGUCUUUACCCAGCCCCUACCAUUUAGGAGAUGAGCAUCCUGAGGGAGAAGGAGCCUGGCACCUCAGUAAGGACCUGUGGUUCAGUGUAACUAGACAGGGUUCUGGAUGGUGAGAGGUGGUGUUAGUGACGGAGGAGCAGGGCCACAUGAAGAGCUUUGAUUAACAUGCAUCUGAAGGCCAAGGGUGGACAUGUGUACAAGUGCCAGUGGAAAAUGGCUUUUCUGGAAUAUCAGGUUUGGUCCUAAGAGACUAAGGGCACUCCACGUGGUGAGCAAUAAAUCUGGAUUCUGCUGUGUUUAAUUAAGCGUGUCACCAGCAUGGAAUGCGACCAUGGAUUGGCCUGUGACGAGCCUCCUUCUCCUAGAGAGAGAAGUUCUAGCCUCGUCUUCUGCUCCUGUGGAGUUUUCCAUUGCUUGGAAAUGGUUUGUAAGGUGAUGGAGUCCCAUGGAUGCCAGCUGGCAAAGGAAGAUCAGAGAAGGAGGAGAAGUUGAGUCAGUGGAGGGGAAAGAUUGCUGGAUGAUAUUUUCUUCACAGCUGUAGUGUCAAUAAAUAAAGACUUUGAUCACCCA